This 24-nucleotide non-coding RNA is filed under the name Drosophila melanogaster (fruit fly). Lineage: Eukaryota; Metazoa; Arthropoda; Insecta; Diptera; Drosophilidae. The record is from RNAcentral.
UUGACAAUGAAACGACAAUUCCAG